Molecule: long non-coding RNA, 1211 nt
Organism: Oryzias melastigma (Indian medaka)
Lineage: Eukaryota; Metazoa; Chordata; Actinopteri; Beloniformes; Adrianichthyidae
Exons: 2
Source: RefSeq, a predicted model, not a curated record
GUUGGAGCCAGAAUCUCGUCUCCUCUGGUCUGCUGAAGGCCUCAGGGAACGGAGGGGAGGUGAAGGGCCGUCAGGAGAACCAGCAGAACUUCCACGGAGACGCCGGACCUCAGGGGGGCGGAGCCUGAAAGCAGCAGGGAGGAACCUUGAUCCAGAUCCUGAGGACCUCCAGGAUCUGCUGAUCUUCCAGAUCAGAGAACAUUCUGGAUGAGAUCAUGAUCUACAGCAGAAUUCUGCUGGAAUCUGUCAGAGUUUGAACGAUCAGUGGAUCUGCUGAUCAGGGAUCUGGAUCCGAGCAGGACGAGGAGGUUCUGGACUCCAGAGUCCUGCUGCUUCACCAGAAUCCUGCCUGGAGCUGAUCAGUUUGGUAGCAGAGUCCAUGGAGACUAAAUCUGAGGGACUAAGACUGCAGAGAAGUUCAGAUUUCUGUUUCUGUGGAGACAGAGAUGGAGAGAUCUCUGACAGCAGAAUCCAGCAGCUGAAGCUUUGAACUUCAGGAAACCUUUGAUUCUUCAUCGUCUGAUCUGCAGCAGAUCUGAUAAUCUGGAAGAUCUGAGGAACGCAUGGAGAUGAUCUGAUAUCGUCUUCUGUUGAUGGAAAUGUCAACAGUUGGAUCUGGAUUCUGCAGAACUCUACAAACUCUGCUGGAGCAGAACUGAUCUAUUGUAGUAAACUUCUCUUUUAUGAAGCUGGGAGGAUUUGGCUCCGCCUCCUUCUACGCGGCGAGUCUGGUAAUGACCAUCCUUCCAUUCACCUGGACAAAAUCCUGAAGUAUUAAAUUCUUUAUGGUAAUAAAGUAUGAGAUAUGUCAGUAAAUACAUUUAUUAAGUUAGUUAGUAUUAGUGAAGUAGUUCGUUCGUAUGUUUGACUUCCCAGUAAAGGAAACAAAGCUGAUGUGAGGAUCACACUGAAGAGCUCCACCCUGGGGGCGGGGUCUAAAUUUCCUCAUGAGGUGAUAAUCUCGUCUGCUGUUCAUCUCCACAGACGUUUUUAACUUUAAUAAUUCUUCAACAUCCGAGUCCUUCCGAUAAACGGCUUUACCUACCCGUGUUCGUAGUCGUCGGGGAUGAAGUCGUUUCAAUGGAGGGCAGGGCUAAAGGUGGCACAGUUGUGGGCGGGGCCGUUGUAGUUGAAAUCAUUGACAAGACAAGGGGAGGAGCCAAUGUAGACGAUGAGGGUAUUCUUGGUUUACCUGUAACAAGAACAAGACA